CAACAUCUGCUGCCAAGGUUUUCACUGUAGAUGCGAGAAAAAGAAGUCCUCGCGCUUUCUGUCUGUCUGAUUGUGGCAGCCAUGAUUGAAUAGGGGAAGACAGGA
Molecule: small nucleolar RNA, 105 nt
Filed under: Dasypus novemcinctus (nine-banded armadillo)
Lineage: Eukaryota; Metazoa; Chordata; Mammalia; Cingulata; Dasypodidae
Description: Small nucleolar RNA SNORA31 (ENSDNOG00000030997.1)
Source: RNAcentral